ACGGGAGUAGCGUAAUCAGUCUUCCAAACUGAUUACGCGGGUUCGAUUCCCGUCAUCCGCU
This 61-nucleotide transfer RNA is filed under the name Bifidobacterium biavatii DSM 23969. It matches the Rfam family "tRNA". From Rfam's summary of the family: Transfer RNA (tRNA) molecules are approximately 80 nucleotides in length. Their secondary structure includes four short double-helical elements and three loops (D, anti-codon, and T loops). The record is from Rfam by way of RNAcentral. Lineage: Bacteria; Bacillati; Actinomycetota; Actinomycetes; Bifidobacteriales; Bifidobacteriaceae.